GAUGAACGCUAGCGGCAGGCUUAAUACAUGCAAGUCGAGGGGUAACAGGGGAGCUUGCUCCCGCUGACGACCGGCAAACGGGUGCGGAACACGUACAGAACCUUCCUUCGAGCGGGGAAUAGCCCAGAGAAAUUUGGAUUAAUACCCCAUAGUAUUACGGAGUGGCAUCACUUUGUAAUUAAAGAUUUAUCACUUGAAGAUGGCUGUGCGGCUGAUUAGGUAGUUGGCGGGGUAACGGCCCACCAAGCCUUCGAUCAGUAACUGGUGUGAGAGCACGACCAGUCACACGGGCACUGAGACACGGGCCCGACUCCUACGGGAGGCAGCAGUAAGGAAUAUUGGUCAAUGGACGAAAGUCUGAACCAGCCAUGCCGCGUGGAGGAUGAAGGCCCUCUGGGUUGUAAACUUCUUUUAUAUGGGACGAAAAAAGAUCUUUCUAGAUCACCUGACGGUACCAUAUGAAUAAGCACCGGCUAACUCCGUGCCAGCAGCCGCGGU
RNAcentral lists this ribosomal RNA (498 nucleotides) under uncultured bacterium. RNAcentral describes it as "bacterial SSU rRNA". It matches the Rfam family "Bacterial small subunit ribosomal RNA", at positions 28 to 521 of the family's 1533-position model. The record is from RNAcentral.